CAGCAGCCGCGGGAAUACGUAGGGUGCAAGCGUUAAUCGGAAUUACUGGGCGUAAAGCGUGCGCAGGCGGUUUUGUAAGACAGGCGUGAAAUCCCCGGGCUCAACCUGGGAAUGGCGCUUGUGACUGCAAAGCUAGAGUGCGGCAGAGGGGGAUGGAAUUCCGCGUGUAGCAGUGAAAUGCGUAGAUAUGCGGAGGAACACCGAUGGCGAAGGCAAUCCCCUGGGCCUGCACUGACGCUCAUGCACGAAAUCGUGGGGAGCAAACAGGAUUAGAUACCCCCGUAGUCCCUGUCUCUUAUAC
RNAcentral lists this ribosomal RNA (301 nucleotides) under uncultured bacterium. RNAcentral's name for it is "partial 16S ribosomal RNA". It matches the Rfam family "Bacterial small subunit ribosomal RNA", at positions 509 to 807 of the family's 1533-position model. The record is from RNAcentral.